CCCUUAGAUGUUCUGGGCCGCACGCGCGCUACACUGACGGAUUCAACGAGCUUACAACCUUGGCCGAAAGGUCUGGGUAAUCUCCAAAAUCCGUCGUGAUGGGGAUAGAUUAUUGCAAUUAUUAAUCUUCAACGAGGAAUGCCUAGUAAGCGCAAGUCAUCAGCUUGCGUUGAUUACGUCCCUGCCCUUUGUACACACCGCCCGUCGCUCCUACCGAUUGAGUGAGCCGAUGAAACUGCCGGAUGUGGACUAUUCAUAGUCUGCAGAAGAUAUUUGAAUCGUAGCGCUUAGAGGAAGGAGAAGUCGUAACA
This 311-nucleotide ribosomal RNA is filed under the name uncultured eukaryote. RNAcentral's name for it is "partial 18S ribosomal RNA". It matches the Rfam family "Eukaryotic small subunit ribosomal RNA", at positions 1470 to 1796 of the family's 1831-position model. The record is from RNAcentral.